AUACUGGCUAGGCACCCUCUUCAGAGCACCCUCUUUCAGCUCUCUCUCUCUCUCGGACAUGACAUUAAUGUGUACAUAUGAACACAUCUUAAGGUUAAAGCCAUUUAUGGAUAAAUCAGAGUAAAUUCUUUUAUAAUGUAUAGUUAUUAUUUUCAGAUUCCUGCCAUGGAGAACACCACCACAUUGUCCUGCAGAAACAUUUCUGAUGGUGAUGGUUACACUUACAAAGUGCCGUCUUAUAUACCAUCUGCUCUACUGCAGGACGAGGACUGUGAGCAAGAGUGGAAAAAUAAGGCAGGGGAGUUUUUGUCAGAUGGACAUCAUCAUGCAAAUAAAACUGAGCACCCACUGGUUCGUAAUGAAACCAUAAAAAACAUCAAAGUCUCUGAAUGCAUCGAGCUUCACCAUUCUGUGACCUGUCAUGGAUCGAGUCAAAAGUUUAUACACACUUACCAAGUGAUCAAUGACACCGCCCUGAGUUUUGAGCAGCAAUCCAAUAGCACCACCACCAACACCACCAUCAUCUCUGUUGUCGUUCCCCUUAUUCUGAUUGUAGUCCUGAUUGUAGGCCUACAUAAAACGGUACACUACAUAAAAAGGUAUAACAAGAACAAGAGAAGCUGUGUCAAAAGUAGUCAUAUCAAUGAAGAAGCUCAACCAGCCCAAGCCAUGGAAUGUAUGUAUUCUCCAAUUGUUUUAUAUCAACAUGCUAUAUAUAAUAUAAAUGUGUGUGUGUGUAUGUAUGUAUGUAUGUAUGUAUAUGUGUGUGUGUGUGUGUGUGUGUGUGUGUAAGUAUAUAUAUUAUAUAUAAAAAUAAAUAAAAUUAGUAUCUCACAAAAGUGAGUACACCCCUCACAUUUGUGUAAAUAUUUGAUGAUAUCUUUUCAUGUGACAGCACUGAAGAAAUGACACUUUGCUACAAUGUAAAGUAGUGAGUGUACAGCUUGUGUAACAGUGUAAAUUUGCUGUCCCCUCAAAAUAACUCAACACACAGCCAUUAAUGUCUAAACUGCUGGCAACAAAAGUGAGUGCACCCCUAAGUGAAAAUGUCCAAAUUGGGCCCAAAGUGUCAAUAUUUUGUGUGGCCACCAUUAUUUUCCAGCACUGCCUUAACCCUCUUGGGCAUGGAGUUCCUCUUCCGCUCCGUGAUGUCGUCAUGGAGGAGUGGAAGAGGACUCCAGUAGCAACCUGUGAAGCUUUUCUUUCUUUCUUUUUUUUUUUUUUUUUACACUGUAAGGGAAACAAAGAAGAGAAAUUAAAAAUGGCAAAUCUAAUCUCAGUUUAAAAUGCACUUUAUUAAAUAAUUUGACUAAUUUGUAAUGGCUAAGAGCCGUUGAUGAAAACAGAAUGUAAGAUUUAAUGUUGCAGUGUUCCAACAACAAAGUUUGUACUUAUACUGAUACUUGUUAUUGUCAGAGGUGGUUCGAAUAUCAAAAAUAGUGACUCAAGUUAAAGUACCAUUAAAAAAUAUGCCAAUCUGUCCAAGUACCUACUUGAUUAAGAGUAUGACUGUAUCUAGUUAAAAAAUUAAGGUUGCUGUUACACAGGAAGCGUCAGAUAAAACGGAUUGAAUGUAAAUGUAGACGCAUCCGAUUUUAAACUCCUUUAUUGAGAUGCGUUUGAUCAAGCAAGUGUAACUCCGAGUGAAAGCUUCUGCGUGCAGUGACAUGCCUAUUGCAUGUAGCGUUAUCACAGAGCAGGGUGUCGCAUUCAAACUUUCGUCAAGUAGUUUAACGCUGGUUAACUUAACAUAAUUAUAUCUUCAGUUUUGCUGAGCUUUAUCACCACCUUCAUCGCCAGCACCAUUUGGCGAAUAUUUGAUUUAAAUGAAAUUUUCACUGAGGAUAUUUUUUUUUAUAAUUGAGUAUUAGUGCCAGCCCUAUAAAGAGUUAAACAAUUAGAACAGGUGUAUAGAAUUUAGAUUUUCUAUUAUUAAAAUAAUUGUAUUUCUCUACUGUGUUUUGUCCGUCAGUGGUGAAGUGCUGAGCAGCCAGAGCACUCCAAGAGCAUAUGAAGAUUAAGUUUCUCCAUCCAGUUUGAUUCUGCCUUUUCUAUAAUCGUACUUGUAUAUCUGCUUUUGUACUUUCACUAUAUUUUUCUUGCAUUUUGAACAUUUUUAAAAUGUUAAAAUACUAAAUAGGUAAACAGACCUUGGAAUUAUAGGAUUCUUACCACAAGUGCCAAAUGUUUUAAUCACGUCAAAGCACACAGAACAACUUUUAUACUUCACACAUUUUAUUAUACUAUGUAGCAGUAUUUUGGUGUAAAAUAUAUUGUAUACGUUGUUGCGUCCCAGUCUAGGUUGGGCCGCACAAAGUAACCAGCUCAGGAUUCAAGUUGAUUGAUCUUUUAAAGUGUAAGUGAGGGAGCCAGGAGUAACAACAAAACAGGGUUGUUCAAAAAGUUGUAGUGUAUUAUCUCAGACAAUAUAUACAUAUAACUAUACAAAUAACCUAAAUAGGCAUAUCUUCAGGGUGGACCAAAGCCAAAAUAAUUAACAAAAGGAUCCUAUGAUUUAGGUGUCUAGCUGACCUAAAAGGAAAGAAAAGAAAAUAUAAAUAUUCUACCCUAACUACCUAAGCAAGAAACAGAGACAAAAGGGACCAUCUCCCAAAAUAAAUGACAGCCACACCCCUACAGCCACUGAACCAAAAGAGCACGAGCACACACACACACACACACACACACACACAUGUGGAGAGAAUGCACAAACAAUAUAUAUAUAGGGAUAACCAAACUCUGAGUCAAAAACCAGGCAGAAGUCAAAAUACAGAGUUAGCCACAAGGGCAAGCACACAAAUCAAGCAAUCUCCUAACACCACUACCAAACACCUCCAACACCCCACCACGUCUCACUCUGUCUUCCUCUUUAAAAAUGGCCGCCAUUCAUUGAGGUCAUCAAGGAGACGGGAGCAAGACAGACUAUGGCAGGCUUGGAAAAAAGCGUGAAAAGUAAACCGGUAUUUUAUUUUAAAAAAAAUUAAAAAGCAGAAAAAAUAUGUAUUGCUGCAUCAUUAACACUGCCUAUAGGUCAUCAAGAAGAGACUGCUAUAAUUGAGUUAGUCAAGUUUAAUUCAGUAUUUAAAAAAAAAAAAUACAGCUACAAUAUUUUUAAAAAAUCAGGCUGCCCCUUCAUUUUAUUAAAAACAUUUUUAUAGUACUGUGAAUUAAAAUGUUGCACAAAACAAUGAAGACCAAAGAACUUAUUAAAUCCUAGAGUAAUAUAAAAUACAGUAUUAAUAAUCAAAGAUUGUUAAAUUUGUUUACUUAUUGUAUGUUAUUUAUCACUUCAUGCUGCCAUUUAAAGAAUGUGUUUGUUUUAAACAACUGGCAGUUUAAGCUGACAUGACCACUCUGAGUGUAACAUUAAAGCAGGGCUGUCAAACAUGGGACUGGACUGUCCAGUGGGAAAUGACUGGCCCUAUAGAAGUAUUUGUAAUCCAACCUAGCAUAUGAAUUUAGAAACCAUAAUAUUUUAUUGGACAUUUAUUUAUUUUUAAUGAAUUGCAGAGUGCACACAAUGUAGAUUUCCACUAAAUUGGUCAAUAACCAACUUUUUCUGUCCCAUCGAACCAAGUAUAAUCUAUUCUGUAAGAUGUCCCUGAUUUAAAGCAUUAAUUUGUACUCAUGCAAUACUUUUAUUUAUUUCUUUAUUUAUUUUCUCAUUUUUUCUUUAAUGCCAUCACUUUAUUAGGGAUCUAAAUGUCUAUCAAGCUUCUCUGUGACUGUACAAUGAAAUAUCUGACCUUGCUGAGUGACUUUCUUUUAUAUACGUAGCCUGAACUGGAGAACUCUAUAUCUUGGGUGAAUGUAGCUGUUGCUGUAGAAUGAGACAAUCUGAAUAAAAAACAUCUCUUUUAAUACCACAGCACUGUUUGAUUCUGAAUUGUGAUUGGCCACAAUGUGUUGAUUGAUUUUUCUUUAAGAGCAGCUCUGGCAGUAGUGCAGCUGCAAAAUGGUUCAUGUUGUCUAGUUUGGUCUUUUCUGGAAAAAUUGCAAUAUGAUGCCAUAUUGUUACACCCUUAAACACUGUAUAUUACUUAACGUACCUUGUGCUUCUUUUGCUGUUUACUGUUUCAGAAAGUCACUAUAAAGCACAUGUCAGAAUGAUAACAUGGUCGGUACUACUGAGUGUUCAAUACAGAAAACAAUGGGAAUUUAAUGACCACUUGUACAGUGCUGCUAGAAAGUUUGUGAACCCUUUACAAAUUUCUGUAUUUCUGCAUAACUUUUACCAGAAAUGUGAUCAGAUCUUCAUCUAAGACUUAAAACUUGAUAAAGAGAACUCAAUAAAUAAAUGUAAAAACUAUGAUGUUUGUGUCAUUUGUUUAACUGAGCAAAAAA
Molecule: long non-coding RNA, 4344 nt
Organism: Ictalurus punctatus (channel catfish)
Lineage: Eukaryota; Metazoa; Chordata; Actinopteri; Siluriformes; Ictaluridae
Source: Ensembl